This 497-nucleotide ribosomal RNA is filed under the name uncultured bacterium. RNAcentral's name for it is "partial 16S ribosomal RNA". It matches the Rfam family "Bacterial small subunit ribosomal RNA", at positions 28 to 507 of the family's 1533-position model. The record is from RNAcentral.
GAUGAACGCUGGCGGCGUGCCUAAUACAUGCAAGUCGAGCGAACGGACGAGAAGCUUGCUUCUCUGAUGUUAGCGGCGGACGGGUGAGUAACACGUGGAUAACCUACCUAUAAGACUGGGAUAACUUCGGGAAACCGGAGCUAAUACCGGAUAAUAUUUUGAACCGCAUGGUUCAAAAGUGAAAGACGGUCUUGCUGUCACUUAUAGAUGGAUCCGCGCUGCAUUAGCUAGUUGGUAAGGUAACGGCUUACCAAGGCAACGAUGCAUAGCCGACCUGAGAGGGUGAUCGGCCACACUGGAACUGAGACACGGUCCAGACUCCUACGGGAGGCAGCAGUAGAGAAUCUUCCGCAAUGGGCGAAAGCCUGACGGAGCAACGCCGCGUGAGUGAUGAAGGUCUUCGGAUCGUAAAACUCUGUUAUUAGGGAAGAACAUAUGUGUAAGUAACUGUGCACACCUUGACGGUACCUAAUCAGAAAGCCACGGCUAACUACGUG